UCAACUUUACAACUUUUGAAGAUUUGAAUUUGAAUUUCAAAUUUCAAACUUCAUUGAUUCAUUUUAUAUUCCCUCCUUUACCUUCUCUUUCUAAAAAAGUUUCUCUUCAUUUCUCUUCUUUCUCCUUCUUAUCUUCAACUAUAAUAUUGCUUUCUCUAAUUUUCUAUCAUUUCUGUCAUCUCUCAUCUUCUACAACUAUUUUUUUUUUGCUAAAGCAUCGAAAUUGAAAGACAUGAGAUGAAGCCAAUGAUCGACAAAGAUCAUUCACAAAUUAUGACAUCAAGUAUGAGAGCAAAGAAUUGACUCGUCCCGAUCAUGUGAAGAAAGAUGUACAGCCAGAAGGAAAAAAUUAGUAGAUGCACUAUGAACUCCGGGAACGGUGGAGGCAGAUCCCGACGGAGUGUCUCUGCUAACCAUUCUUUAAUGUGGUUUUUAAUGUAGUAUUCAAAAGGAACAAGAUGAUUGAAUUUACCGGAAAGUAUAAGUGGAUAUGGAGGACUCAAAUUAAAUAAUGGGUUUUGUAGAAGAGAAUGAGAUGAUUACCGGAAAGUAUAGGGAGUUUUUUUAGUAUAAUAUUUUUAUAAACUCAUAGGUCAUUUUAUUAGCAAAUAUAAGAAUUAACCAUCAAAACUGAGUUAUCAAAGCAAACAUAAGUAUUAGGCAAAGGAGCGCAGGUAUGCUCCAUUUACCACCAGCUCCAUUUACCCCAUUUAGGGUCUUGGAUGAGUGACAUGUGGCAAAAAUGGAUUCAAUGAUUCAGAUUAAAAAUAAACAAAAACAUCAGUUUUUUUAAUAAAAAAAAAAGAGAGAGCAAACACACGCUUCUCUUCUCUACAAACACGCGCUUCUCUUCUCUCGUAUCACACAGUUCAUCUUCUUCAACCUCCCUCACCGCCAUGCCUCCCUUAUGCCGUCGCCCUCGCCGUCAUGCCUCUAGGAACCGCCGUCUAUUAAACACAUCAUCGCCCUCUUCCUAUCACCGCCCCUCUCCCCCGUCUCACCGCCGUCUCAUCGCCCUCCUCACAUACUAAAACACCUUGCUGCUCUUCUCUUCCACACCAGUCGAUUCACUCUUACCCACAUUUACCCUUGCCAAUUUCUAAAUAUUCAUGACAACAUUAAUUCGGUCACUGAGAAUUCUGAAAUAAUCAUUAAUUCGUUCACUGAGAAUUCUGAUAAAUUAGUUUUCUCCAUAGCAGUAGUUUUGAUAAAUAAUGCAAUGGUUUUGAAAUAUUGCAGUAGUUUUGAAACUUCACAGAGAUGAUGGAUUUUAGCUUUUACACUUUCUUCUUUUCCUACACCUUGAUAGAUGAAUGAUGAACUUGACAAUUUGUUCAUUGUUUUGAAAUGAUCAUAAUAAAAUUCUGCUCUUGAAACAAUACAGUGGUCUUAAUCGUGCACAUCUUGAUUAUUUCUAUGCUCUUCUGGCUGCUCUUAGUGCAGUGGGAUUAACCGCCUUCUAGUUUUUCUCAAAAUCAUAUGUUUAUAAGAGAACAAGCACAUAGAGUAAGCAACUGGAAGCAUAUGGAGAAACUUUUUUACUGGAAAAGAAUUUCAAAUCUUUCAGUAGACCAUUGUAUUUGUAAAUUCAUUGAUAAGACAUUGCACCACUUGUUGAUCGAUUUUGGAAAGAUAUGAUGCAAGACUAAUGAAGGCACAUUUGUAUGUGAAAUAAUGAACUGAAUUAUUUAUACUUUAUGGUUUCUGUUUAAACUUAUAAGUUGUUAUGUAAUGAUAGCUAUAGCUCUUCUUUUACGAGGAUGUUCUAUUUUGUAAUAAUGUAAUAAUAUCUCAUGAUGAUUAAUGCCUUUCAA
This is a long non-coding RNA of Medicago truncatula (barrel medic), 1814 nucleotides long. RefSeq lists it as uncharacterized. The transcript is spliced from 2 exons. NCBI's taxonomy places the organism in Eukaryota, Viridiplantae, Streptophyta, Magnoliopsida, Fabales, Fabaceae. The record is from RefSeq and is a predicted model, not a curated record.